AUUGAACGCUGGCGGCAUGCCUUACACAUGCAAGUCGAACGGUAACAGGUCUUCGGACGCUGACGAGUGGCGAACGGGUGAGUAAUACAUCGGAACGUGCCUAGUAGUGAGGGAUAACUACUCGAAAGGGUGGCUAAUACCGCAUGAGAUCUACGGAUGAAAGCAGGGGAUCGCAAGACCUUGUGCUACUAGAGCGGCCGAUGGCAGAUUAGGUAGUUGGUGGGAUAAAAGCUUACCAAGCCGACGAUCUGUAGCUGGUCUGAGAGGACGAUCAGCCACACUGGGACUGAGACACGGCCCAGACUCCUACGGGAGGCAGCAGUGGGGAAUUUUGGACAAUGGGCGCAAGCCUGAUCCAGCAAUGCCGCGUGCAGGAUGAAGGCCUUCGGGUUGUAAACUGCUUUUGUACGGAACGAAAAGCCCUGGGUUAAUACCCUGGGGUCAUGACGGUACCGUAAGAAUAAGCACCGGCUAACUACGUGCCAGCCGCCGCAGUAA
Molecule: ribosomal RNA, 498 nt
Filed under: uncultured bacterium
Lineage: Bacteria
Description: partial 16S ribosomal RNA
Rfam family: Bacterial small subunit ribosomal RNA
Source: RNAcentral